Molecule: ribosomal RNA, 451 nt
Filed under: Exiguobacterium sp.
Lineage: Bacteria; Bacillati; Bacillota; Bacilli; Caryophanales
Description: bacterial SSU rRNA
Rfam family: Bacterial small subunit ribosomal RNA
Source: RNAcentral
GGCGUCACCUUGGGAUGGCCUUGCGGUGCAUUAGCUAGUUGGUGGGGUAAUGGCCCACCAAGGCGACGAUGCAUAGCCGACCUGAGAGGGUGAUCGGCCACACUGGGACUGAGACACGGCCCAGACUCCUACGGGAGGCAGCAGUAGGGAAUCUUCCACAAUGGACGAAAGUCUGAUGGAGCAACGCCGCGUGAGUGAUGAAGGUUUUCGGAUCGUAAAACUCUGUUGUAAGGGAAGAACAGGUAUGAGAGGUAAUGCUCAUGCUAUGACGGUACCUUGCGAGAAAGCCACGGCUAACUACGUGCCAGCAGCCGCGGUAAUACGUAGGUGGCAAGCGUUGUCCGGAAUUAUUGGGCGUAAAGCGCGCGCAGGCGGCCUUUUAAGUCUGAUGUGAAAGCCCCCGGCUCAACCGGGGAGGGUCAUUGGAAACUGGAAGGCUUGAGUACAGAAG